CCUACGGGUGGCAGCAGUGAGGAAUAUUGGUCAAUGGGCGAGAGCCUGAACCAGCCAAGUCGCGUGAGGGAGUACUGCCCUAUGGGUUGUAAACCUCUUUUGUCGGGGAGCAAAAGCCGGACGUGUCCGGCUGUGAGAGUACCCGAAGAAAAAGCAUCGGCUAACUCCGUGCCAGCAGCCGCGGUAAUACGGGGGGUGCGAGCGUUAUCCGGAUUUAUUGGGUUUAAAGGGGGCGCAGGCGGAUUUUUGAGUCAGCGGUAAAAUCGUGGGGCUCAACCCCAUCCAGCCGUUGAAACUGGGGAUCUAGAGUGUGCGAGAGGUAUGCGGAAUGCGUGGUGUAGCGGUGAAAUGCAUAGAUAUCACGCAGAACCCCGAUUGCGAAGGCAGCAUACCGGUGCACAACUGACGCUCAGGCACGAAAGCGUGGGUAUCGAACAGGAUUAGAUACCCCAGUAGUC
This 458-nucleotide ribosomal RNA is filed under the name uncultured bacterium. RNAcentral's name for it is "partial 16S ribosomal RNA". It matches the Rfam family "Bacterial small subunit ribosomal RNA", at positions 338 to 795 of the family's 1533-position model. The record is from RNAcentral.